RNAcentral lists this transfer RNA (74 nucleotides) under Rubrobacter radiotolerans. Its description in RNAcentral is "tRNA-Ile (GAT) (tRNA-Ile-GAT-1-1)". It matches the Rfam family "tRNA". From Rfam's summary of the family: Transfer RNA (tRNA) molecules are approximately 80 nucleotides in length. Their secondary structure includes four short double-helical elements and three loops (D, anti-codon, and T loops). Further hydrogen bonds mediate the characteristic L-shaped molecular structure. tRNAs have two regions of fundamental functional importance: the anti-codon, which is responsible for specific mRNA codon recognition, and the 3' end, to which the tRNAs corresponding amino acid is attached (by aminoacyl-tRNA synthetases). tRNAs cope with the degeneracy of the genetic code in two manners: having more than one tRNA (with a specific anti-codon) for a particular amino acid; and 'wobble' base-pairing, i.e. permitting non-standard base-pairing at the 3rd anti-codon position. The record is from Rfam by way of RNAcentral. Lineage: Bacteria; Bacillati; Actinomycetota; Rubrobacteria; Rubrobacterales; Rubrobacteraceae. RNAcentral also lists the same sequence under 7 other names.
GGGCCUGUAGCUCAGGUGGUUAGAGCGCUUCUCUGAUAAGGAAGAGGUCCCUGGUUCGAGUCCAGGCAGGCCCA